RNAcentral lists this ribosomal RNA (520 nucleotides) under uncultured Entrophospora. RNAcentral describes it as "SSU rRNA". It matches the Rfam family "Eukaryotic small subunit ribosomal RNA", at positions 569 to 1084 of the family's 1831-position model. The record is from RNAcentral. Lineage: Eukaryota; Fungi; Glomeromycota; Glomeromycetes; Entrophosporales; Entrophosporaceae.
CGCAGCCGCGGUAAUUCCAGCUCCAAUAGCGUAUAUUAAAGUUGUUGCAGUUAAAAAGCUCGUAGUUGAAUUUCGGGAUUGGCGCAUCGGUCGUGCCUCACGGGGUAUGAACUGGUGCAGUCAAUUUCUCACCUUCUGGAGAACCGCGAUGUCCUUAAUUGGAUGCCGCGGGGAACCAGGACCUUUACUUUGAAAAAAUUAGAGUGUUUAAAGCAGGCAUUUUUGCUUGAAUACAUUAGCAUGGAAUAAUAAAAUAGGACGGCAUGGUUCUAUUUUGUUGGUUUCUAGGACCACCGUAAUGAUUAAUAGGGAUAGUUGGGGGCAUUAGUAUUCAAUUGUCAGAGGUGAAAUUCUUGGAUUUAUUGAAGACUAACUACCGCGAAAGCAUUUGCCAAGGAUGUUUCACUAAUCAAGAACGAAAGUUAGGGGAUCGAAGACGAUCAGAUACCGUCGCAGUCUUAACCAUAAACUAUGCCGACUAGGAAUCAGACGAUGUUAAUUUUUUAAUGACUCGUUUGGC